RNAcentral lists this ribosomal RNA (426 nucleotides) under uncultured Paenibacillus sp. RNAcentral describes it as "bacterial SSU rRNA". It matches the Rfam family "Bacterial small subunit ribosomal RNA", at positions 355 to 774 of the family's 1533-position model. Lineage: Bacteria; Bacillati; Bacillota; Bacilli; Caryophanales; Paenibacillaceae. The record is from RNAcentral.
UAGGGAAUCUUCGGCAAUGGACGGAAGUCUGACCGAGCAACGCCGCGUGAGUGAAGAAGGUUUUCGGAUCGUAAAACUCUGUUGCCAGGGAAGAAAGGUGAGGCGAGUAACUGCGCUUUGCUUGACGGUACCUGAGAAGAAAGCCCCGGCUAACUACGUGCCAGCAGCCGCGGUAAUACGUAGGGGGCAAGCGUUGUCCGGAAUUAUUGGGCGUAAAGCGCGCGCAGGCGGUCAUUUAAGUCUGGUGUAUAAACUUGAGGCUCAACCUCAGGACGCAUUGGAAACUGGAUGACUAGAGUGUAGGAGAGGGAAGUGGAAUUCCACGUGUAGCGGUGAAAUGCGUAGAGAUGUGGAGGAACACCAGUGGCGAAGGCGACUUUCUGGCCUAUAACUGACGCUGAGGCGCGAAAGCGUGGGGAGCAAACA